Non-coding RNA from Pelobates cultripes (western spadefoot toad), 1169 nucleotides. The record is from the annotation of a GenBank genome assembly. Lineage: Eukaryota; Metazoa; Chordata; Amphibia; Anura; Pelobatidae.
AGAUUCAACUGUCCCAGCUGCAGACACUUUUGGGAGUCUGCUCGAGUCUCUCUCACUUUUCAUUAUCGACUUGUUGCAUCUUCAAGUGGAGAAGUCCGUCUGAGACUCUUUAGGCAGAAGUGUCGAACAUGUAUACAAAAUGACAUGCUGACAGCAACAGUUAAAGGAGACAAUAAGCACGAAGUAUUGAUGAGGCUGAUAACCAAAAUAAAGAAAAACUGUUAUCGAGAGGUGAUAGACAAUGUUCCAUAUUCAGGUGCAUCGAAGAUUACUAAACCUCAUGAGACCUCUUUAUGUGAAGCUUGUAUCAUGGGCAGAUGUAACAGGGAAGCCUGAAUUAUAUACAUUUUGUUGUUGUUUUUUUAAAUAACUAUCAGCUUAGCUCUUUAUAUUCUGACAUUAUUCUGGCUUGAGCUGCAUUAUAAUAACGUCCAUUAUCGUAAGAUAUUCCCUCUCGAAGUUUAUAGUUCUAAAACCAGAAAUGCAGAGAGAGUAGAGAUCAAUAACUAUAAGAUAAGGCUAGGGACUAAUGAAAGUAUUUAGAAAAUUGGGCAGACUAGAUGGGCCGAAUGGUUCUUAUCUGCCAUCACAUUCUAUGUUUCUAUGUUAAUAAACAAUAGUGAAUAACAUGUGAAGUAGAACUAAAGCUGAUUCAGAAAUAAUGGCAAUACUAUUCGUGGAAAGAUGUAAGAAAAAGAGGUUGGAUGACGUCAAGCCAAUGAGGCAACUGGAUUAUUGAAGCAUUUCUAUUACUUGUGGAAAAUACUGCUUCAAUUCUCAGCAAUUUUCUCACAACCUCUCAUUAUCCUGAAGUGCAUUAAAUUAGUGCUGGUCACUGGGGAAAUAUGAGCAUCAAUACACCACUAUCACAACUACAAAUACAAAAAAAACAAAUACACACUUCAUUGUUAAAUAACUUGGUAGCAUUUUUGUAAUUAAGGUUACAUUGUAAUAUCUAACUUUCAAGACAAUCCUUAAAAAUUAAGGUCAUCUAAAUUAGCAAGUAUUGCCAUUUGUCUGGUUGCAUGAUAUCAUUAUUUUCAAAGUGUGACUGUUUAACAAUAUUUUGCUACAACUUUCUAGUUUUCAAAAUGCUACAGUAAAAUAUGUAACCAUGAGUGUCAUUAUGUGUACAAGAAUGCAUCUCAUAAUAAAUUAUUUGUAAAGAA